Molecule: ribosomal RNA, 526 nt
Filed under: uncultured bacterium
Lineage: Bacteria
Description: bacterial SSU rRNA
Rfam family: Bacterial small subunit ribosomal RNA
Source: RNAcentral
ACAUCCAGCGAACUUGGCAGAGAUGCCUUGGUGCCUUCGGGAACGCUGAGACAGGUGCUGCAUGGCUGUCGUCAGCUCGUGUUGUGAAAUGUUGGGUUAAGUCCCGNAACGAGCGCAACCCUUUAUCCUUUGUUGCCAGCGAUUCGGUCGGGAACUCAAAGGAGACUGCCGGUGAUAAACCGGAGGAAGGUGGGGAUGACGUCAAGUCAUCAUGGCCCUUACGAGUAGGGCUACACACGUGCUACAAUGGCGCAUACAAAGAGAAGCGACCUCGCGAGAGCAAGCGGACCUCAUAAAGUGCGUCGUAGUCCGGAUCGGAGUCUGCAACUCGACUCCGUGAAGUCGGAAUCGCUAGUAAUCGUGGAUCAGAAUGCCACGGUGAAUACGUUCCCGGGCCUUGUACACACCGCCCGUCACACCAUGGGAGUGGGUUGCAAAAGAAGUAGGUAGCUUAACCUUCGGGAGGGCGCUUACCACUUUGUGAUUCAUGGCUGGGGUGAAGUCGUAACAAGGUAGGCGUAGCGAG